Molecule: long non-coding RNA, 1970 nt
Filed under: Marmota monax (woodchuck)
Lineage: Eukaryota; Metazoa; Chordata; Mammalia; Rodentia; Sciuridae
Source: RNAcentral
UAAAGAGAGCCUACAGAAUGAGACAAAAUCUUUACCACAUACACUUCAGAUAUGGCAUUAAUCUUUGGGGUAUAUAAAAAACUCAAAAAACUUAACACGAACCAAACAAACAAACCAAAAAAAUACCAGAUAACCCAAUCAAUAAAUGGGCUAAGGAACGGAAUAGACACUUCACACAAGAAAUAAAAUAGAUCGACAAAUAUAUGAAAAAAGUUCAACAUCUAGCAAUUAGUGAAAUGCCAAUCAAAACUACUUUUAAGAUUUCAUCUCAUUCCAGUCAGAAUGGCAAUUUUAAAGAAUACUAGCAACAAUAAAUUUUAGCGAGAAUGUGGGGAAAAAGGCACACUCAUAUAUUCCUGGUGGGACUGCAAAUUGUUGCAACCAGUCUGGAAAGCAGUAUGGCGAUUCCUCAGAAAACUUGGAAUGGAACACCCGUUGACCCAGCUACCCCCUCCUUGGUCUAGACUCAAAUGACUUAAAAUCAGCAUACUGCAGUGAUGCAGGCACAUCAUUGUUUAUAGCAGCUCAAUUCACAAUAGUUAAACUAUGGAACCAACCUAGGUGCCCUUUAAUAGAUCAAUGGAUAAAGAAACUGUGAUAUAUAUACACAAAGGAAUAAACAGCUUUAAAAGAAGAAUGAAAUUAUGGCAUUUUCUGGUAAGUGGAUGAAACUGGCGAAUAUCAUGCUAGGUGAAACAGGCCAUCCCCAAAACAAAGGCAGAAUGUUCUGAUAUGGGGAUAUUAUAAUGCACACAAUAAGUGGAGGGAAGGAAUGAACAGAAAUACUUUGGAUUAGACAAAGGGAAAAGAAGGAAAAGGAGUGGUGAUUGGUUUAGGAAAGGCAGUAGAAUGAAUUAAACGUUACUUUCCUAUGUUUAUAUGUAAACACAGAACCAAUGUAACUGUACAACCAUAUCAUGUACAACCGCAAGAAUGAGAAAUUAUACUCCAUGUACGUAUAAUAUGUCAAAAUACAUUCUAAUAUCAUCCGUAACUAAAAAGACCCAAUAUUUUUUUAAAACAAUAAAACCCACAAAUUAAUGACAUAUAAAAGUCAUUCAAUGAAGUAACAGAAAUUUUUCUGAAUCUUGAAAAUGAGAUGAACAUGCAGGUUCUGGAGGUAUUUAGAAUAGACAGGACCAGAAAAAAACUUCUCCAUGGCAUAUUGUAGCUAAAAUAUCAGAAAUUCAAAGUAAAUAACUUCAAGAGUUUCAAGAGUGAAAUGUCAAGUCACUUAUAAAGUCAAUCCAAUAAAAUAAUAGUUUUCUCAACAUAAACUUCAAAGGGCAUUAAGUUCUGAAAGAAAACAACUGCCAACCUAGAUUACUAUAUCCAGUAAAGGUAUUCCUAAGAAUCAAAGAAGAAAUAAAGAUCUCCCAAGAUAAACUAAUUUAUAAUUCCUAAGUCAGCUCUGCAGAAGAUACUUAAAGGAAUCCUACACACAGAAGAGGAAGAUAAGAAUAACUAAGAAAGCAUGGGAAAGAAAAAAUCUCAUUAAAAGAAUGGACAAGAAAAAAUGAGAAUUAGGGACAAUUAAUUAUUAUAAAAAAUGAUAAAAAGUAACAUAUACCUCUCAGAAAAUAAUGCACAAUGUAAAUGGUCCAAAUUUUCCAACUAAAAUACAUAGAUUGGCAGAUUGCAUUUAAAAAAAAAAACCCAUUGUCUCUAAGGAACACACUCACAGGCAAAGACAAUCACAGGCUGAAAAUGAAAGGAUACGAAAUGGUAUUCCAUGCAGAUCUGUUACUUUCAUAUCAGACAAAGCAGACUUCAAGCUGAAAUAGUCAGAAGAGAGAAAGAUAGUUGUUGUGUUUUAGAUAUGAGGUGUCCCACAAAAUCUCAUGUAUGAGAAAACAUAAUCAUUUCACCUCUGAAAACUUUUAUGAGAAGUAUAACACAAUUGGUUGAUUAAUCCACUCACAUAGAUUGAUUGAGCAGUAACUAUAGGCCCAAUGGAGUAUGGCUGGAGG